CUCACGUCUGAGGUGCCAUACGCACAGUCAAAGCUUCUUCAAGAUCAUCUGCUUAUCUUGAGUUUGUGGUGAUAUUAAUAUUGAAUGUUUAAAUGAUCUGAAUCUGCCAGUACUAGGGUAGCAUGAGACAAGAUUUCUAAGAAUAAGUAAAUGUGCCCUAGCCUAGGUUAUUAUGUCCAUACACAUAACACAUGACAAUCCCCAAGGUACUCUUGACACACCUCAUUCAUGCUUCAGGACAAAAAAGGAGUACCCCUAUAAAGGGUGGUUUUACCCACACAUACAUAUAUAUGUAUAUUAAUGCCAUAGGGGUGUCAAGGGGGGUACCAAAUAAUUUUAAGGUAAGAAACUAAGUUUGAAUCUAUUCUCCCAAGCAUUACGGCUAAUAAAAUCUGAAUUGGAAGGGAAGAGGUUUAUACAAUAAACAGGAGACCUUUUUCUUACAGGACAUGUAUGACUCAGCU
Pelobates cultripes (western spadefoot toad) is the source of this 464-nucleotide non-coding RNA. Lineage: Eukaryota; Metazoa; Chordata; Amphibia; Anura; Pelobatidae. The record is from the annotation of a GenBank genome assembly.